UAUUAAAAUUUUUCUCCAUUUGUACUAUUGAAAAUUAGCAUGGUUGGCAAAAUAACAAAAAAUGACACGUGACAUGCAAUGUGUACCUCAUAUUGACGUAUACAAAUCAAUUUUUAACAAUAAAAAAUAGAUGAAAUUUUCAACA
RNAcentral lists this microRNA precursor (145 nucleotides) under Gossypium arboreum. RNAcentral's name for it is "MIR7502 microRNA precursor family". It matches the Rfam family "MIR7502 microRNA precursor family". The record is from Rfam by way of RNAcentral. Lineage: Eukaryota; Viridiplantae; Streptophyta; Magnoliopsida; Malvales; Malvaceae.